Cynoglossus semilaevis (tongue sole) is the source of this 74-nucleotide small nucleolar RNA. Ensembl annotates it as small nucleolar RNA SNORD59. The record is from Ensembl. Lineage: Eukaryota; Metazoa; Chordata; Actinopteri; Pleuronectiformes; Cynoglossidae.
UCUUCUGUGAUGAUUUAACAGUGACUUUCGUUCUUCUGAGUAAACUGAAGCCAAACCUUACUGUUCUGAGAAGA